GAGUUUGAUCCUGGCUCAGGACGAACGCUGGCGGCGUGCUUAACACAUGCAAGUCGAGCGAUGAAGCUUCCUUCGGGAAGUGGAUUAGCGGCGGACGGGUGAGUAACACGUGGGUAACCUGCCUCAAAGUGGGGGAUAGCCUUCCGAAAGGAAGAUUAAUACCGCAUAAUAUAAGAGAAUCGCAUGAUUUUUUUAUCAAAGAUUUAUUGCUUUGAGAUGGACCCGCGGCGCAUUAGCUAGUUGGUAAGGUAACGGCUUACCAAGGCAACGAUGCGUAGCCGACCUGAGAGGGUGAUCGGCCACAUUGGAACUGAGACACGGUCCAGACUCCUACGGGAGGCAGCAGUGGGGAAUAUUGCGCAAUGGGGGAAACCCUGACGCAGCAACGCCGCGUGGGUGAUGAAGGUCUUCGGAUUGUAAAGCCCUGUUUUCUAGGACGAUAAUGACGGUACUAGAGGAGGAAGCCACGGCUAACUACGUGCCAGCAGCCGCGGUAAUACGUAGGUGGCGAGCGUUGUCCGGAUUUACUGGGCGUAAAGGGUGCGUAGGCGGAUGUUUAAGUGGGAUGUGAAAUCCCCGGGCUUAACCUGGGGGCUGCAUUCCAAACUGGAUAUCUAGAGUGCAGGAGAGGAAAGCGGAAUUCCUAGUGUAGCGGUGAAAUGCGUAGAGAUUAGGAAGAACACCAGUGGCGAAGGCGGCUUUCUGGACUGUAACUGACGCUGAGGCACGAAAGCGUGGGUAGCAAACAGGAUUAGAUACCCUGGUAGUCCACGCCGUAAACGAUGGAUACUAGGUGUAGGGGGGUAUCAACUCCCCCUGUGCCGCAGUUAACACAAUAAGUAUCCCGCCUGGGGAGUACGGUCGCAAGAUUAAAACUCAAAGGAAUUGACGGGGGCCCGCACAAGCAGCGGAGCAUGUGGUUUAAUUCGAAGCAACGCGAAGAACCUUACCUGGACUUGACAUCCCUUGCAUAGCCUAGAGAUAGGUGAAGCCCUUCGGGGCAAGGAGACAGGUGGUGCAUGGUUGUCGUCAGCUCGUGUCGUGAGAUGUUAGGUUAAGUCCUGCAACGAGCGCAACCCUUGUUAUUAGUUGCUACCAUUAAGUUGAGCACUCUAAUGAGACUGCCUGGGUAACCAGGAGGAAGGUGGGGAUGACGUCAAAUCAUCAUGCCCCUUAUGUCCAGGGCUACACACGUGCUACAAUGGUAGGUACAAUAAGACGCAAGACCGUGAGGUGGAGCAAAACUUAUAAAACCUAUCUCAGUUCGGAUUGUAGGCUGCAACUCGCCUACAUGAAGCUGGAGUUGCUAGUAAUCGCGAAUCAGAAUGUCGCGGUGAAUACGUUCCCGGGCCUUGUACACACCGCCCGUCACACCAUGAGAGCUGGUAACACCCGAAGUCCGUGAGGUAACCGUAAGGAACCAGCGGCCGAAGGUGGGAUUAGUGAUUGGGGUGAAGUCGUAACAAGGUAGCCGUAGGAGAACCUGCGGCUGGAUCACC
This 1499-nucleotide ribosomal RNA is filed under the name Clostridium botulinum CDC_1436. Its description in RNAcentral is "bacterial SSU rRNA". It matches the Rfam family "Bacterial small subunit ribosomal RNA". The record is from RNAcentral. Lineage: Bacteria; Bacillati; Bacillota; Clostridia; Eubacteriales; Clostridiaceae.